Molecule: ribosomal RNA, 301 nt
Filed under: uncultured bacterium
Lineage: Bacteria
Description: partial 16S ribosomal RNA
Rfam family: Bacterial small subunit ribosomal RNA
Source: RNAcentral
CAGUAGCCACGGUAAUACGAAGGGGGCUAGCGUUGUUCGGAUUUACUGGGCGUAAAGCGCACGUAGGCGGAUCGAUCAGUCAGGGGUGAAAUCCCAGAGCUCAACUCUGGAACUGCCUUUGAUACUGUCGAUCUGGAGUAUGGAAGAGGUGAGUGGAAUUCCGAGUGUAGAGGUGAAAUUCGUAGAUAUUCGGAGGAACACCAGUGGCGAAGGCGGCUCACUGGUCCAUUACUGACGCUGAGGUGCGAAAGCGUGGGGAGCAAACAGGAUUAGAUACCCCAGUAGUCCCUGUCUCUUAUAC